RNAcentral lists this microRNA (24 nucleotides) under Eisenia fetida (common brandling worm). RNAcentral's name for it is "Efe-Mir-124-P18_5p* (star (passenger))". The record is from RNAcentral. Lineage: Eukaryota; Metazoa; Annelida; Clitellata; Crassiclitellata; Lumbricidae.
AGUGUUCACUGCGGAUGCUUUAGU